AACAUCUCAUCCGUGCCUUUUCAGUUGCUGGGCAAGCACGAACUUGGCCGAAGCUGGGUUCUUGUGCUGCGUACCUACCUCGAAGGAAUUGUGUUGGCUAUAAUUCUCCCAUUUCAACCCUGUGCUGCCUUCCCUUGCGGGGAAGCUGUGCGGGUUGGACUUCAAGGCUGUUGCCGUGUUUCACACCGUGCUCACCUCUACGGGAGUUCCGGUUCUUGACCCACGGCGCCAUGCUUGAUUUCUUGGGUGCGGAAUAUCACGUGGAUUCAAGGCCAUUGGCCUCGUUUUCCACAAAAAAKAGCGUUCGACGCUGAGUGCGAACGACGGUUGGCUUGGUCUUCUGUUGUGCUCUUGUAGCCCGAUUGGAGUCGAGUCGGCGUCGU
This 383-nucleotide unclassified non-coding RNA is filed under the name Elsholtzia densa. Its description in RNAcentral is "partial external transcribed spacer". The record is from RNAcentral. Lineage: Eukaryota; Viridiplantae; Streptophyta; Magnoliopsida; Lamiales; Lamiaceae.